Molecule: small nucleolar RNA, 66 nt
Filed under: Arabidopsis thaliana (thale cress)
Lineage: Eukaryota; Viridiplantae; Streptophyta; Magnoliopsida; Brassicales; Brassicaceae
Description: JKHR08F4
Source: RNAcentral
GGGAGAAUUUGAAGAAACAACCCUUGGCUGUCUGAGAAAAAAAAAAAAAAAAAAAAAAAAAAAAAA